UACGGAGGGUGCAAGCGUUAUCCGGAUUCACUGGGUUUAAAGGGUGCGUAGGAGGGCAGGUAAGUCAGUGGUGAAAUCCUAGAGCUUAACUCUAGAACUGCCAUUGAUACUAUCUGUCUUGAAUAUUGUGGAGGUAAGCGGAAUAUGUCAUGUAGCGGUGAAAUGCUUAGAUAUGACAUAGAACACCUAUUGCGAAGGCAGCUUACUACGCAUAUAUUGACGCUGAGGCACGAAAGCGUGGGGAUCAAACAGG
This 253-nucleotide ribosomal RNA is filed under the name uncultured bacterium. Its description in RNAcentral is "partial 16S ribosomal RNA". It matches the Rfam family "Bacterial small subunit ribosomal RNA", at positions 524 to 776 of the family's 1533-position model. The record is from RNAcentral.